UGUUGUCACAAUCUGUGGCACGGUUUCGCGACAGACAGCUGCCAAAGAGCACGUCAAAUAGGGUUUAUUUUGAUUAUAUUACGGAAUGAUAAUAAACGAACGAUUAUAUGAUUGUUAUACACGAGUCUUAAGAGGUGUUGUACAAUAACUAGCACGAAGUUGUUGAUAGUUCCCGAGUUAGAUAAGUCGUGCGUGGUAUUUAAAAUAUUUGAUCCUCGUGCAAAUUCUUGAAUGAAUUGAUUUAUGAAGUGACAUUGACGUGUGAUCGCGCGGGAACUUUGAGUUCAGUUUUGCGUUGAUCGCGGGUGAUAUAGGUGCGUUGUCGAAGGAUAUUUGUGUUGGUGUUUUAUCGAAGUUAUGUUAAGUGAAAGUAAAGUGUGCAAUGCGGUUAUGUGGCUUUGGUGACGUUGUUAUUGCCAAUAUAUGUGCAUGCCCUUGCGAGGUUGGCAAGAUCCCAUACAUGCGAACAAUUCCAUGUGUGCUUCCGGACUAACGGAGUAACUAUUAACUAAUUGUUUUUGUUAAGAUAUAAGGUCUAAACACCAAGAUGCCGUUUACAAUGAAAGAAGGGGGUUUCGGGGUGGGUGACUAUGUGGUCUUCGGGGUGCUGUGCGCCGUAUCAUGUGCUGGUGGUCUGUGGUACAGUGCCAUUGGCUCCAAAGCUAAGAAGGUGGUAGACGUCAAGGACUACCUCCUUGGUGGACGAGCACUGUCCACAUUUCCAGUUGCUAUGUCGCUGAUUGCCAGUUACGUCUCCGGGGUGACAAUACUGGGGACCCCGGCUGAGAUAUACAACUACGGCACUCAGUACUGGCUGGUGGUGAUAGGAGUGACUCUCAGCUGUAUAGCAGUAGUCACCAUAUACUUGCCAGUGUUCUGUACACUGAGGCUAUCUUCUUCUUAUGAGUACCUAGAGUUAAGGUUUAACAAGAACGUUCGGGCAGCUGCCUCGGUAUUGUUCCUACUCGACGAGGUACUAUUCCUGCCAAUGGUUGUAUACGUUCCCGCAUUAGCGUUUAAUCAACUGACGGGUUUCAGUGUAUUUGCCGUAGCUGGUACUAUGGUCACAAUAUGUGGCCUGUAUACAGUAUUAGGUGGAUUAAAAGCCGUGGUGUGGACGGAUUCAGUGCAGACGGGAGUGAUGUUCAUAGGCGUGAUCCUAGUGGCUGCCGCCGGGACGAUCGCCGUCGGCGGCGUCUGGGAGGUCAUCGACAUUGUCAACGAAACCGGACGAUUUGAAUUAUCCAACUGGAGUUUCUCUCCAUACGAGCGUCAGACAGGGUGGGGAGCUGUGGUCGGUGGAUUCCUGUACUGGACCUGCUUCAAUUCCGUCAACCAGACCAUGGUGCAACGAUACAUCUCCCUACCUACUAAGAGGAAAGCUAUCACGGCCAUAUUCAUCUUCUGCUUGGGUGCAAUCCUGGCGAUCUCUCUAUGUGUAUGGUGCGGUCUAGCGGCCUGGGCGACAUGGGUGCAAGGAGGAUGCGACCCUGGCGGCGUGCCCCUGGUCGAUGAUAGGCUUUUACCGGCCUUUGUGACGUACGUGUCCAGAGCUAAGCACUUACCUGGAUUGUCUGGGGUUUUCUUGGCUGGAGUCUUUGGAGCUGGACUGAGUUCACUUUCAGCAGUGUUGAAUGCGUGUGCGCUGGUGGUGAUUGAGGACAUCAUCCACGGGUGGCUGAAGCUCCAACUGAAGCCGUUCACUGAGGGUAUGCUGGCCAGAGCCAUCACCGCCAGUUUGGCUGUCGUAUCUGUUGUGAUGCUGCUCGUUAUUGAGAAACUUGGAGGUGUUCUUGGUGUAGCAACAGCUUUAUCAGCUAUUGCCGCGAGUGCAACAUGCGGAGUUUUCACCCUUGGCAUGGUCUGCUGGUGGGUGGGCCCCCGAGGGGCGCUCUCAGGGGCCCUUGCCGGGGCCCUACUGGCUGGUACAGUGUCGCUUGGGACCCAGGCUGCAGCUGCCAAUGGUUUGAGGGCCCCACCGUUGAAUAUAACUUCGGAUUGUGCGCGAAAUGCUUCCUAUGUGGAUUCUUUUGCUGAUGCUCUUGACCCAGAAUCCGUGUUCCCACUAUUCAGAAUAUCAUACCACUGGAUAGCACCCCUUGGGCUGGUAGCCACACUCACAGUCGGCAUGAUCGUGGGCUGGCUAUUCGACAAGAAGGAAACUUUAAAGAUGGAUGCCGAGUUAUUCACGCCAGGCAUGUGGCGCUUCUUGCCACAAGAAGCUAUAGAACGAGCUGGGGACACAAGAAGGGCGAUUGUAGAACGAGAAGCCGCCCCUGCUCAUGCAGCCCCGCUUAUCCUUGCUACUAUUGAUAAGAUACAUAAGGAAAGUUAAUUGGCAUGUUAAGGCGAUACGUAGGCAUUAUUCCCUUAGUGCGUAAAUUGGAUUGAAAUAAAUGGCGAGCCAAGCAGGUGAGACGAGCGGACAUACAAUUAUUUUUAGGUAUUUUUAUUCAUUGUGACCAAGAUUUUAAUUGUCUAGUCACGCAGUGAUUUUAGAAAAGUAUUGCUAUUAGAAAAAAAGAUAUUAUGGAAAAUAUGUUCUAGAAAAAUCGGUGGUGAAUGGGCAUUAAUAGAUUGGUUUAAUACAAAUGCCUUUGAAGUGAAAAAAUAAUAGGAAAAAUGGUAUUUGUUUAGCCUUUAAUUAAAUGAAACCAUUCCGUUGGUGAAAUGUUGGAAAUGGUAUUAGAAUGUGGAAUAAAAAAGUGUAAUGUGACUUGUGGAAGAUAUAAUGGGACCAAGAGACUUGUUACGUAUUUAAUAAGGUGUUUUUGUUUGGUGAAUAUAUGCGCUGUUUGCGGCCAUUUAAUAAACAAUGUACUUACGUAAAAAUAUAAUCAGUAGAACUAAACUUGUAGUUGCUGAUUCAGAUUAUCUCACAGAGGAAAAAUUCUUUAGGUAAUUGGAUAUUGGAAUGGAAUGGAAUUCGUCACCUAGUUCAAUUCUAAGGAAAACUUAAAAAUUGUAAUUAACAAAUUGUAUUGUGGCCUGUGUACCCUUAGUACGAGUUUGUUUUACGUUGAACGAAAACGAAACGAGAGCGUGUUGCGCUCACUAAUUGGUCGACGCUACAGAACCAACCAAUCAUAACGCUAGAUCUCUUCUCUGUUUUCAUUUGAAGGUUCCUGAAUCAGCAACUGACCAUGGUGAUAUGAAGCUUCGCAAAUUUGUGACAAUACUGCUUCAAAUGAUCAUUUCAAUAAAAUAUGUAAAUAAACAUUUUUUUUUUAUAAACUGUCUAUUUAUAGUGCCAAUUUGUUUAUAAUAGAUAAUAAUAAUUACCUAUUUAUUAAUAAUAAGCGUAGAAUUAUCACGUGUUACUAAUAAAGUUAUACAUAUACUAAGUAUUAUAAGCCCUUAGUAUGAGUUUGUUUUUACGUUUAAAGUAAUCGAAACAAGAGCGCGUUCGGCAUUCUGAUUGGUUUGUUCUAUUCGAGCCGACCAAUCAGAGUGCCGACGAUACAGAUCUAUUAUUGUUGUCAUAGUAAAAAAUUAAAUGGAAUUGAAUCAUCCAUUAUACAAAACAUAACCAUUACAAUAUGUACUUAAAAACAAAAUGUAGCAGUAUUUUAGUAUUUUAAGUGAAAAAUAUAUAAUAUUCUAUGGAAUCAGAUUUUUAUAUAUUAAAAGAAAUAUACUAUUCUCAAAUAAAUCUGUACAUUAUUUACUUAAGGUUCUUUAGAUAUUUAAAUCAAUAAAGUAAAAAAUUAUUGUACUUACAUAUUAAUGAAAUCAUAUUACUUACAGACGUUCGACUCCCUUAAAUGUUGAAUACUUACAAUUUUUAAAUACAGUCGAUUAUCGUUAAUUCAAAUUUCAAACCUUCGAUGAUUCGAACCUCUCUAUAUUUCAAAGUUAUCACGAGGUCCCUAGAAAAUCUCUUUACAUUUCCAUCUAAAUCAAUACAUUUUUCAUACUACCUCAUGCUACCUUGUAAAGUGACUCCUUAAUUCGAAUUUAUUAACAUCAAACUCUCGACAAUUUGAAGUUGCAGGGAGGGAGGGAUUAUCAGUCAGUCAGAUCAGUAUCUAUAUUUUGAGGCAAGCCCUAUUUUCGGACUGUUUGAUAAUUCGACCAUUCAGUAAAAUAAUUAUUUUAAGAUUCCCUCCAGUUUCGAAUUAACGAGAGUCGACUGUACAUCAAAGCUGUAUCUACUAAAUACAUAGUAUAAAUGGGUUAAGGUAUUUAAAUAUUUAAAUUAAAUAUAUUACAAAUCUACAUGCUCGAAUGAAUUGCAGCAUUGCAAUGAAUACAGAUCUUUUUCUAGCAAACUUUUUACCUUAUAGUUGAGCCAUUACUUAUGUGCAAACUGUUAAGUAAAAUGAGAACAACCUCCUUUUUGUGAAGUCGGUUAAAUAAUAUGUUUAUCCCGCACAAAUUACAUAAGUGUGAGCGAGAGAUCUGAUAAAAAUGACUUAUGACAAUACGCACGUUUGUAAUGGUCGAACUAUAGUAAUUUAUGUUUCAAACUAUAGUUUUAACAGCAUUCGUUUAAUUUUAAAGUAUCUAUUUAUAAGUAGUAAUAAAUAAUAAUCUAAGUUAUAUUUAAAUUCUGUAUUUUCGCGACAUCUAUAGACUUAUGAGAAACGCACAAUUUUUUUUUUGAUAUCUAAUCAUGUAAAUGAGCACUUAUAUACUUACAUCUUUGUUAUUUCAAAUAAAUAAAUAAUAUAUGAAAACUAAAAAUGAUGACGGUGUAUGAAAAUUAAAAUCUGUUUGGCCGUCGGUUAGGUGCUGAUAAAUAUAAUAUUAGCAGCGUGAAAGCACCAUAAUAUAGGAGGAAACCUUUUCAAGGAAUAUUGUAAUGUUUUUAUGUUACAAGAAAGUGUUCUUUAGUUUUGUGAUGUUAUAAAAUUAGUAUUAGCAUUUAGCAGAAUUAACUUAAUAUCCUUAAGUUUUGUGUAAUGUAGGAAGUAUUUGGAAUUUCCAAAACACAAUCUUUUAACGUGCAAAUAAUUAUUAUACAUAGAUUGUACUUAUAAUAUUGAAUGUUAUACAAACUACAGGAUAAUGUACUUACUUCAGUUUUUUUUACUAGUUAUGGUAUACCUAAGUAUUUAAAGUGCCAAGUAUAAUAUUUUUGCCAAGCAAUUUGUUUCUUAUCGUCAAAAAUAGAGUUUUUUUUAUACAUUUUUUUCUUAUAAAUGGAUACAGGGCAUAUCUACAGUGUAAAGGAAAUGUUUUAAUGUGUAUACAAUUUAUUUAUAACUAGUUAUUUGUAAAAUUUUUAUAAAUGUACACAUUUAAUAUAAAACUAUUUAAAGCGACGCUUUCUAAACAAAAAACGUUAAGGCCCUAAUAUAAAAUGUACCUGAAAUUAAUUCAGAUAAUAGGUAUUACAAAUUAUAUUAUAUUUUGUUACAAAAACAUAUUACUUUAGAACGUGUAAUAUUUACGUAUACAACAAUUAUAAUGUUACAAAAUAAAUCUUAUUACAACAAA
Spodoptera frugiperda (fall armyworm) is the source of this 5442-nucleotide RNA transcript. It is a transcript of the gene named sodium-coupled monocarboxylate transporter 2, with no coding region annotated. The record is from RefSeq and is a predicted model, not a curated record. Lineage: Eukaryota; Metazoa; Arthropoda; Insecta; Lepidoptera; Noctuidae. The transcript has 14 exons.